This is a long non-coding RNA of Vespa mandarinia (Asian giant hornet), 252 nucleotides long. RefSeq lists it as uncharacterized. The record is from RefSeq and is a predicted model, not a curated record. Lineage: Eukaryota; Metazoa; Arthropoda; Insecta; Hymenoptera; Vespidae.
GAGUAGUAAUACGUACGUAUGGCGACAUGUACGGCGAGUCUUACUAACAUAGAAGAGGAAAGAGAGAGAAAGAGAAAGGGAGAGAUAUUAAUAGGAUUGAUCAACGUAUUUACCGUCGAUGACCCGGCCAGAGGUGCCCGAGGCGGCGGAGCCUGGACAUAUCGUAGUGAUUGGGAUCAAUACGCUUAACCACACUACCACGCAAUAACACCCCUGCUUGUCCCCCUUUGCCUCCAUCGACCUCGGUAUCUC